This 766-nucleotide ribosomal RNA is filed under the name Coniochaeta sinensis. RNAcentral's name for it is "partial large subunit ribosomal RNA". It matches the Rfam family "Eukaryotic large subunit ribosomal RNA", at positions 111 to 911 of the family's 3401-position model. The record is from RNAcentral. Lineage: Eukaryota; Fungi; Ascomycota; Sordariomycetes; Coniochaetales; Coniochaetaceae.
AAAUUUGAAAUCUGGCUCCGGCCCGAGUUGUAAUUUGUAGAGGAUGCUUUUGGUGAGGUGCCUUCUGAGUUCCCUGGAACGGGACGCCAGAGAGGGUGAGAGCCCCGUAUAGUCGGCCACCGAUCCUCUGUAAAGCUCCUUCGACGAGUCGAGUAGUUUGGGAAUGCUGCUCAAAAUGGGAGGUAUAUCUCUUCUAAAGCUAAAUACUGGCCAGAGACCGAUAGCGCACAAGUAGAGUGAUCGAAAGAUGAAAAGCACUUUGAAAAGAGGGUUAAAUAGCACGUGAAAUUGUUGAAAGGGAAGCGCUUGUGACCAGACUUGCGCCGGGCUGAUCAUCCAGUGUUCUCACUGGUGCACUCGACCCGGCUCAGGCCAGCGUCGGUUCUCGCAGGGGGAUAAAAGCUUCGGGAACGUGGCACCUUCGGGUGUGUUAUAGCCCGCUGCUUAAUGCCCUUGUGGGGACCGAGGUUCGCGCUCUGCAAGGACGCUGGCAUAAUGGUCAUCAGCGACCCGUCUUGAAACACGGACCAAGGAGUCGAGGUUUUGCGCGAGUGUUUGGGUGUAAAACCCGCACGCGUAAUGAAAGUGAACGUAGGUGAGAGCUUCGGCGCAUCAUCGACCGAUCCUGAUGUAUUCGGAUGGAUUUGAGUAAGAGCGUAUAGCCUCGGACCCGAAAGAUGGUGAACUAUGCCUGAAUAGGGUGAAGCCAGAGGAAACUCUGGUGGAGGCUCGCAGCGGUUCUGACGUGCAAAUCGAUCGUCAAAUU